Molecule: long non-coding RNA, 2955 nt
Filed under: Daphnia magna
Lineage: Eukaryota; Metazoa; Arthropoda; Branchiopoda; Diplostraca; Daphniidae
Description: uncharacterized LOC123470078
Source: RNAcentral
GAUGUCAAUUACGGAAAAUUUCUAGACAAAUCUUUGCAAUCAGUACCAAAAACACAGCAAAAAUAAGAGACAUAACAAUGCAGUAAUACCGAAACCAGUUCCUUGUUGCCAUUUGAUUGAUUUUGCAUGUCGUCCUGAAUGUUUUCCUAAUCAAUCAUUGGUUGCGGCAGAGAGACGAAGUUGAAUGCCCACGAGAUAGAUGAUCGAAGUUCAUCCAUUGUCUCUUUGGUUUCGAAACUUUACAACUGCGCAGCAGUUUUUAAACCGACAUUUCUCUGCUAUCUCUCGUUGCGCGUGUAUGCACUUGAAGUGGGUUAUUUGGUUAAAAAGUUAUCCUUUAAUCAGUCACGGAUCGAACAAGUCCGCCCAAUCAAGACCGAACGAUCUCUUGUUUUCUUUUCGAGACUCGUUUCGGUUUGAUUUUUUAACGACCUCCAGACUUGAGCCGAGUAUUACCUUCAGUGUCGUACAGUACAAAGUUAACGACCUAAGCCCAGCCUUCAACUUAUUAUUUUUGGCCUCGUUUUGUAACAAGCUGACAAGGUUUCAAGUUCAAGUGGGUUAACGGUAUUUUGCAUUUGGCCGCAGCUCCGUCUGGAAGGACUCGAGGCUUACAUGGGCCGUAAGAAGAGAGAGAUACAUAUAUUUUACGAGCAUCUUUGGCUUCUUUGGACUUUCACCGUCUGUGUUACUGGCUGUGGUUCAAAACUGGAGGGUCCGGGUUCAUGGCCUGAAGAAACAGAGAGAGAAAGAGAGAGAGAAAAGGGUCACAAAGGACAUGGGGGGACUGCUGUCUGCUGAGCUGUAAAGGGCUGUCAACCGAGGACGUAGUGUCAUGGGCGCAUGUUUUCUUGAACUUCUUCUUCUAUUGUUGUAUCGAGAAAAGAAAACAACUCUUCGUAGACAAAACAGACAUUGUCUCUGGCUCUCGCAGAUUCACAAAUAUAGCAGCUAGCCGACUUUAUUGAUAUUCUGCUGGCUAGUGCGCAGCAGACACAAGAUAGAGUCAACGACCACGAAAGAGAGUCGAGAGAGAAAACGUGUCUUUCCUUUUAUUUUAUUUUAUUUUAUUUUAUUUUUUUCGUUUUUCUCGUUGCGGUUAAGGGCUGUGCAGAUCUCGUGUUGAUUUUUCUUGGAAAUACACAGCGAUUCUACACCUUCAUUGAAACUCUAUAGAUGGAGCUGCAACAAAAAUGAUUUCUGGGUUAGAUAUAUAGAUAUAGGCUAUAGAGUGGUAAUUUUUUUUUUUUUUCUUUGUUAAACGAGAGACAAUUUCAGGUCACGUCCUCUUUGGAUUUGUGUCACGUUUAGCCGACACUUCUCUAGGGCUCACCAUUUAUUAGUUUAUUUUUAUUUUUUGGCUUCUUAAUAUAUUUUUCUUUGCUGUUUUUUUUUUUUUUUAGCAGGGAUAAAUAUAGGGCGCAUAGUCGCGUGUCUCUUUUGUUUUUUACUAUGGAAAUUUUACACAAUAAAAAUCCGCUGAUGAAAGAAACCGCAAAUAUGUACUCGGCACGUCUUUUUUUGAAUACGUUCCAACUUUUUUUUUUUUUUUUUUAAGGACUGUUGGAAGGAUGGAAGAAAUAAACUGUCAAGCGAAAAGAGUCGGUGCUACUGUGCUGGUCAUCGUUCUUUUUUUUCAUUCUCCGCUACAUAUAUUUCUUUUUCCACCCCCCAAGACUAUUUUUGUGCUGACGUACUUGCAACGCCACACUCAGACGGCAGCCAUUUCUAAUAGUGAACGGCAGAGUCUCGAUAUAGAUUACAUGGAAGCCUCUCCCGUUUUGGUACCGCCCGCACGACAACAACAACUAAAACUGCAGUUGAGCGAACUGCCAGCAUUCCAUGCCCCAUUUUUAUUCGCAUUUCCCUCCCCUCUUUCCUUUUUUUUAGUGCAAUUUUAUGAUAAAAGAUCGGCAUUAAUAACAACUGGCAUUUCUUGUACAAUGUCUACUGGUGGACUUUUCCACUUUGCAAAUAUUUUGGGUACUCGAAAUAUUUCAUAAUAGUUGGCAUUUCUUGACUAUGCGAUGUCUACCGUAUUUUCUGAUGGACGUGAACUGAAAUUGAAAAAUCUGAAAUUUUUAAUUUUCUUUUUUUUUUUUUAUUUCACCUAACGUAACUCUCCCUCACCAGAAAAAGACGUGCAGUUGCCAAGCCGUUGUCGACUUUUUGAAAUGGAGAUGGAAAAUGCUGAUCUAAUGGAGUAAAUCAAAUGAAAUGAAAGUCUAAGAAGAUACGGGACAAAAUGUGAUAACAUAAAUGAAAAAAAAUAGGAUUUUGUUCGAGUGCUGACAUUUGUCCUUUUUCAACACUCUACGGUAAACACGGUCCGGAUUAAUAUCUGAAAAAUGUCUGGGCAACUUAAAUCGAAUUUUUUUCUUCUUUAAAAUUUAAUACUGAUAGCAAUCAAAAUGGAAUCAUUCCAAAAACGACAGGCUUGCACUGAUACAUUCAGAUUAUGAAAACGGGGUAGAAUCAAGAUCACCAGAGCAUCAUUUCCGGAGCUAUAAAUAUAUAUCUUUCAGGUUGAAUAGCAGAGUCAUUCAGUCGUGCACGAGAAGAAAUAAAAAUAAAUAAGAAAUCUCCAGCAUUUCGAAAGCAAAAAAGAAAAUAUCCUCUGCAUUUCCCUGAAUUGGCAUUCAACUCGGCGGACAACACGAAUCCGAAGCUCAGAAGAAUUUUUCAUUUGUUUUGUUUGCUUUUUGAAAUGUUGCCAAGUUGGGAGCUAAUUUUUAGCAGCUGCGUCGCGGAUAAAAAUUCUUGCAAUGAAGAAAGAAUGGAAGAGAUUGGUUCAAAUAGAAAUCACUCUUGUAAUAAAACCGCCCGUUAAAAGCGGAUGGAUCGAUUUUUCUAUCAAUUUCUUAAUUUUUCUUUUGAUAAACCUCCAAAAAAUAAAAUAAAAUUCAUGUAAGAUACCUGCACAAGAUAACCAAAGAAAUAAAUGAAAGAAGAAGA